AAACCAAAAAAAAUCGCCGCUGCCCUAUUACUAUUAGAUGCAAGCUGCUGUCCGCUGCUGAAAUCGGCAGCUUGCUGAUUUUUUUAUGCUUACCAAUCAACCAGAGUUGAUUGGAAUGCUUGAUUCGAUCUCUCUUUUUUAUUCGAUCCACAAAUAAUGGCCUCUGUCAUGAAAGUGUUUGAACAUCUUAAAAUUCAUUUGGAAGAGUUAAAAAAGCCACCUAAGAGUUUUGGUAGCAAAGUUACAAGAGCUUGUGGAUUUGGAAAUGUGUAUGAAAGAUGCCCCGCUCACUCUAAGGGCCGAAACAGGCUUGCUAUUUGAGCAAUGAGACGUUGAGUUUUGGAAGGAGAUCAUGAUGCUUUCCCGUUACACCCCUUAGAAUCUCACACCCUCAUCACUCUUCUCGGAUUUUGUGACGAGGAUGGUCAGAAGAUCCUUGUGUAUGAGUAUGCAUCUAAUGAAAUCCGGAAUAGCCUUUUAAACUACAGUAUUUUAACAUGGACAAAACGCCUCAAGAUAUAUGUAUCAAGUGGGCUAGUCCACAACGUCUCAAGAUAUGUAUCAAGUGGGCUAGUCUACCUUCAUAUGAUAUAAAAAGCGAGAUAUAUACAUUAGUUAAAAAUGUGAUGUUUUGUAUCAAAUGAGUUUUAAGUAAUCUUCAUAGUAUACAUAAAAUAAAUUCUAACUAUUUUAGACUAAUGAUUAACUUGUGUAGAUUGAUGUUUUCAACAAUUUGAGAAGGUAGGGUUAGCUUGUUUGUAUUGUGUAUCAUUUGGUAUUGGAAAUUGGCUAUAAAAUUAUAUGGACCAGGCUUGCUAUUGUAACUUAUAGGUUCGAUUAUUGAAAAUGGUUAUUCAAUAACGGAAUUGAAAUUUUCGGCUAUUAAA
Helianthus annuus (common sunflower) is the source of this 887-nucleotide long non-coding RNA. RefSeq lists it as uncharacterized. The record is from RefSeq and is a predicted model, not a curated record. Lineage: Eukaryota; Viridiplantae; Streptophyta; Magnoliopsida; Asterales; Asteraceae. The transcript has 2 exons.